Molecule: ribosomal RNA, 440 nt
Filed under: uncultured bacterium
Lineage: Bacteria
Description: partial 16S ribosomal RNA
Rfam family: Bacterial small subunit ribosomal RNA
Source: RNAcentral
CCUACGGGUGGCAGCAGUGGGGAAUAUUGCACAAUGGGCGAAAGCCUGAUGCAGCGACGCCGCGUGAGUGAAGAAGUAAUUCGUUAUGUAAAGCUCUAUCAGCCGGGAAGAAAAUGACGGUACCUGAGUAAGAAGCCCCGGCUAACUACGUGCCAGCAGCCGCGGGAAUACGGAGGGGGCAAGCGGUAUCCGGAUUUACUGGGGGUAAAGGGAGCGUAGACUGGAGUGCAAGUCUGGAGGGAAAGGUGUGGGCUCAACCCCCGGAGUGCUCUGGAAACUGCACGGCUGGAGUGGAGGAGAGGUAAGUGGAAUGCGUGGUGUAGCGGUGAAAUGCGUAGAUAUUAGGAGGAACACCAGUGGCGAAGGCGGCUUACUGGAGUGUAACUGACGUUGAGGCUCGAAAGCGUGGGGAGCAAACAGGAUUAGAUACCCCUGUAGUC